Long non-coding RNA from Oncorhynchus tshawytscha (Chinook salmon), 1247 nucleotides. NCBI's taxonomy places the organism in Eukaryota, Metazoa, Chordata, Actinopteri, Salmoniformes, Salmonidae. The record is from Ensembl.
UAGUGCCCUAUAGGCCCUGGUCUAAUGUAGUGCUCUAUGGAGCCCUAUAGGCCCUGGUCUAAUGUAGUGCCCUAUAGGCCCUGGUCUAAUGUAGUGCCCUAUAGGCCCUGGUCUAAUGUAGUGCCAUAUAGGCCCUGGUCUAAUGUAGUGCACUAUAGAGCCCUAAAGGCCCUGGUCUAAUGUAGUGCUCUAUAGAGCCCUAUAGCCCCUGGUCUAAUGUAGUGCCCUAAAGGCCCUGGUCUAAUGUAGUGCUCUAUAGGCCCUGGUCUAAUGUAGUGCUCUAUAGAGCCCUAUAGGCCCUGGUCUAAUGUAGUGCUCUAUAGGCCCUGGUCUAAUGUAGUGCUCUAUAGUGCCCUAUAGGCCCUGGUCUAAUGUAGUGCUCUAUAGAGCCCUAUAGGCCCUGGUCUAAUGUAGUGCUCUGUAGGCCCUGGUCUAAUGUAGUGCUCUAUAGAGCCCUAUAGGCCCUGGUCUAAUGUAGUGCCCUAAAGGCCCUGGUCUAAUGUAGUGCUCUAUAGGCCCUGGUCUAAUGUAGUGCUCUAUAGAGCCCUAUAGGCCCUGGUCUAAUGUCGUGCUCUAUAGAGCCCUAUAGGCCCUGGUCUAAUGUAGUGCCAUAUAGGCCCUGGUCUAAUGUAGUGCACUAUAGAGCCCUAAAGGCCCUGGUCUAAUGUAGUGCUCUAUGGAGCCCUAUAGGCCCUGGUCUAAUGUAGUGCCCUAUAGGCCCUGGUCUAAUGUAGUGCUCUAUAGAGCCCUAUAGGCCCUGGUCUAAUGUAGUGCUCUAUAGUGCCCUAUAGGCCCUGGUCUAAUGUAGUGCCAUAUAGGCCCUGGUCUAAUGUAGUGCACUAUAGAGCCCUAAAGGCCCUGGUCUAAUGUAGUGCUCUAUAGAGCCCUAUAGGCCCUGGUCUAAUGUAGUGCCCUAAAGGCCCUGGUCUAAUGUAGUGCUCUAUAGGCCCUGGUCUAAUGUAGUGCUCUAUAGAGCCCUAUAGGCCCUGGUCUAAUGUAGUGCUCUAUAGGCCCUGGUCUAAUGUAGUGCUCUAUAGAGCCCUAUAGGCCCUGGUCUAAUGUAGUGCUCUAUGGAGCCCUAUAGGCCCUGGUCUAAUGUAGUGCUCUAUGGAGCCCUAUAGGCCCUGGUCUAAUGUAGUGCUCUGGUCUAAUGUAGUGCUCUAUAGAGCCCUAUAGGCCCUGGUCUAAUGUAGUGCACUAUAUGGGGAAUAGGGUGCCAUUUGAAACACCAUCUUUCUCUGUGAUGG